UGGUCAUGGUGCUUAAUUGCAGCAAUAGAAC
This 31-nucleotide non-coding RNA is filed under the name Mus musculus (house mouse). Lineage: Eukaryota; Metazoa; Chordata; Mammalia; Rodentia; Muridae. The record is from RNAcentral.